This 46-nucleotide non-coding RNA is filed under the name Schistosoma mattheei. Lineage: Eukaryota; Metazoa; Platyhelminthes; Trematoda; Strigeidida; Schistosomatidae. The record is from RNAcentral.
GCACUACUGAGGAGUCCCACAAUAGGACGGAACAGCUGUCAAGUGC